Molecule: long non-coding RNA, 3677 nt
Filed under: Triticum aestivum (bread wheat)
Lineage: Eukaryota; Viridiplantae; Streptophyta; Magnoliopsida; Poales; Poaceae
Description: long non-coding RNA (TAES_LNC022233)
Source: RNAcentral
GCAAUGUAUUUUUAGGAUUUUAAUAUAGGAUAAAAGUAGAUCCCGGGGCUAUAGAUUUCACUAUAGGCCUCUCUCUUGAAAAUAACAUAUGGUAGGUAAACAAAUUACUGUUGGGCAACUAAAAGAAGAGCAAAUAAUCAUGAUGAUAUCCAAGGCAAUGAUCAUGUAUAUAGGCAUCAUGUCCGAGACAAGUAGACCGUCUCCUACCUGCAUCUAAUUACUCCACACAUCGACCGCUAUCCAGCAUUCAUCUAGAGUAUUAAGUUCAUAAAGAACGGAGUAACGUGCGACACCCCUGAUUUGACCGUACACUAAUCAUACACGCAAACGUGUACGAUCAAGAUCAGAGAUUCACGGGAAGAUAUCACAACACAACUCUAAAAAUAAAAUAAGUCAUAAAAGCAUCAUAAUACAAGCCAGGGGCCUCGAGGACUCGAAUACAAGUGCUCGAUGAUAGACGAGUCAGCGGAAACAACAGUAUCUGAGUACGGACAUAAGUUAAACAAGUUGCCAUAAGAUGGCUAGCACAAACUGGGAUAUAGAUCGAAGGAGGCACAUGCUUCCUGCCUGGGAUCCUCCUAAACUACCCCUGGUCAUCGUCGGCGGCCUGCACGUAGUAGUAGGCACCUUCAAUGUAGUAGAAGUCGUUGAAGGUGGCGUCUGGCUCCUAGGCUCCAACAUCUGGUCGCAACAACCGGGUAUAGAAAGGGGGAAAAGGGGGAGCAAAGCAACCGUGAGUACUCAUCCAAAGUACUAGCAAGCAAGGAUUUACACUACAUAUGCAUUGGUAUCAAUGAAAUGGAUAGUAUCCGUGGUCUGAACUGCAGGCCAGAAUAAAAGGGGGAUAGCUAGUCCUAUCGAAGACUACGCUUCUGGUAGCCUCUAUCUUGAAGCAGUAGAAGAGAGUAGAUGGUAAGUUAACCAAGUAUCAUCGCAUAGCAUAAUCCUACCCGACAAUCCUCUCCUCGUCGCCCUGUUAGAGAGCAAUCACCGGGUUGUAUAUGGCACUUGGAAGGGUGUGUUUUAUUAAGUAUCUGAUUCUAGUUGUCAUGAGGUCGAAAUACAACUCUGAGUCGUCCUUUUACCGAGGGACACGACUAUUCGAAUAGAUAAACUUCUCUGCAGGGGUGCACCACAUAACACAACACGCUCGACCCCUCUGACCGAACACACUUUCCUGGGUCAUGCCCGGCCUCGAAAGAUCAACACAUCGCAGCCCUACCUAGGCACACUACAGAGGUCAGCACGCCGGUCUAAAUCCUAUGCGCGCAGGGGUCUGGGCCCAUCGCCCAUUGCACACCUGCACAUUGUGAACGCGGCCGAAAGUAGACCUAGCCCCCUUAAUACAAGCGCAGGCUUACGGUCCAAUCCGGCGCGCGCCGCUUAGUCGCUGAUGUCAAGAAGGCUUCGGCUGAUACCACGACGUCGAGUGCCCAUAACUGUUCCCGCGUAGUUGGUUAGUGCGUAUAGGCCAAUGGCCAGACUCAGAUCAAAUAUUAAGAUCUCGUUAAGCGUGUUAAUUGAUGUAACCACGGACGCCGACCAGGGCCAGGCCCACCUCUCUCCUAGGUGGUCUCAACCUGCCCUGUCGCUCCGCCACAAAGGUCCACUCAGAGGGCCGUCGGGACAAACAUCCUUUUGGUCCCAAUCCGUGAAUCACUCGCGGGUACUCUAUGAGCCGACCCGAAUUUAGUCACCAAGUAUAACAUAUUAUGUAUAUAAGUAUAUACCCGUGAUCACCUCCCGAGUGAUCACGGCCCGAUAGUAUAGCUUGGUAGACGAACAAGAAUGUAGGGCCACUGAUGGAAUACCAGCAUCCUAUACUAAGCAUUUAGGAUUGCAGGUAAAGGUAACAACAGUGGUAGCAAAGACAGGAUAUGCAUCAGAAUAGGAUUAACGGAAAGCAGUAACAUGCUACACUACUCUAAUGCAAGCAGUAAAGAGAAUGAAUAGGCGAUAUCGGGUUGAUCAGGAGGGGGGGGGGGGGCUUGCCUAGUUGCUCUGGCAAAGAGGGGUCAUCAACAACGUAGUCGAUCGCCAAUCGAAGCACCAGCAGCGGCGUCAGUCCCGUAGUCUACCGGAGAGAAGAUGGGGAAGAAACAAUGAAUACAAUGCAAAUAGAUGCAUACCGAUGCAUGACAUGGCAAGUGACGGUGCCAGGUGUGCCGUAACACGGUAGGUGGUGAUACCGGCGAAGGGGGGAAAACAUCCGGGAAAGUAUCCCCGGUGUUUCGCGUUUUCGGACAGUUGAACCGGAGGGAGAAAGUUGCAUGUUCACUAUGAUAGGGGUGUGUGGCGGACGAACGGGCUACGUAUUCGAAUUUGUCUCGUUGUUCUGAGCAACUUUCAUGUACAAAGUAUUUUCAUCUGAGCUACAGAUUAUUUUAUAUUAAUUUUCAAAGUUUUAAUAUAUUUCUGACAUUAGUAUAUUUAAUUAAAUUCAAAUUAUUAAAUAGCUAUUUCGUUAAGUGCACCCAGUAUUACACCCAGUUAGAGACUGAUUGGUGGGUCUAGUCAACUGCUUUCUCAGUAGUCAAAGUGGCUUAGGUCAACAAUGAACAGUGUAGGUGGGAGCCAUCUGUCAUUGGCUAGGUGAUACACAGUCAGCACUUUGACUAGUCAAGGAGGGGCCACAUGUCAUAGACUGUGGCAAUAUUAAAAGAGUUUAUUUAAACUAAUUAACUUAGUUUGCCAGGGUGGGGCCUAGUGGUGAGUGGGUCAAAUUACUAACAAAUUUUAUUGGAGUUAAACCUAAUCGCUACAGUUGCAUGGCCCACCGCCAGUGGCUAUCAGGAUUAGUUUAAUUAGUCUGUUAAUUAUGUCUAUAAUUAAAUAGGUGUGGGUCCCGUUUGUCAGGGGCAUAGGGCGUCAUUAGUAGCUGGGUUAAUGGUGCCACGUCAGCGCAUUGGUGUUUAGUCGCCGGCAGCCACAGUACACGGUGGAGGCUCGCCGGAGUUGUGUUCCGGCGACCAUUCGGUCACCCACGAGCAUCAGUAGGACGAGCGCGUUGGCGCACAUCGAGUUGGGCUAGUGGUUGGUGCUGGAGGUGCCGGGAUGGACGCCAGCGACGAGGUCUAGCGGCAGCCGAAACAAGCGCUCGACGGAUCCGGUGAAACAAGAGAUUGUGUGAGGAAAACGGCCAGGCUACAUCCUGGGGCCUCCACGAACAUGACGGUAGCAGCAUUUCGUCCAGCGGUUAAUGACAGCGGCGACAACGAGCUUGGCCGCGGCGGCAUGGCCACGACCGGCUCUCGGCUUCGGUUACGGCUAGCUAGGCGAGGCAGGGAAGAGAGGGGAAAUAGGGCGGCGCUUACAUCGAUGAUGAGGAACAGCUCGGGGCAGCCGGAGGGAGACGACGGCGCGAAGUAGGCCGGCAAGAGGAGGCGCGAGCGCCAUGGCUGGAGGUCAAGGUUGCCGGCGGGGCAUCGGGCGCGGCACGGAGAAACAGGGCGCCGGGAGCUGUUGGGUCAGCUUGGCCCGUCGGCGGUGGAAGGGGCGCGCGCGAGGAGGCUCGAGGCGGUCGCUGGCGGCCAUGGGGAUCAGGGCGAGAAGCUCCUCUCCCCUGUGUGUGCGUUGUGUGGUGGCGGCGGUGUGGGAGGACGAGGGAACGAGGUGGGAUCGAGCGAGGGAUUCAGGUGAGGCCUAGGGUUAUAGCAGGGGAGGGGGCCGACCUGGUG